CUUCUCAUGGUACUAACCUUUUCUAACCUCUCUCCUAACCUCUGUCCUGGCCCUUUCUUCCCCUGCGGCCCCUCCCAGAGCUAUAAGCGAGCAAUUGGUGAGGACUUCGUGUUGCUGAAGGAGCGGACCCUGGACGAGGCCCCUCGGCCUCCCAAGAAGGCCAUGGACUACUCAUCGUCCAGCGAGGAGGUGGAAAGCAGUGAGGAGGACGAGGAGGAAGGCGAAGGCGGGCCAGCAGAGGGGAGCAGAGACACCCCUGGGGGCCGGUACGGCAUCGGGAGUGGGGCCCUCCCACUCCAAGGCACAGGGAGGGAGGGGAAGUGGCAGUGGGGGAGAGGUGGGGCUUUGGGGCAAGUCUGAGGGAGAGCGGCUGCCUUCUCUAGAGAGUGGGGUAAGGGUGCAGGUUCCUGUCUCUGUCCCUGCCCUGUGUGUUGUGGGGUGGCCUCUUCAAGUGCCUGUCUGCCCCUGUGCCAGCCUGCCCUGGAUGCCAUGCGGGGAAGCAUCUCACGGUGGAACAGGGGCUACAUCGUGAGGGUGG
RNAcentral lists this small RNA (538 nucleotides) under Pongo abelii (Sumatran orangutan). RNAcentral describes it as "retained intron". Lineage: Eukaryota; Metazoa; Chordata; Mammalia; Primates; Hominidae. The record is from RNAcentral.